Molecule: ribosomal RNA, 452 nt
Filed under: uncultured bacterium
Lineage: Bacteria
Description: bacterial SSU rRNA
Rfam family: Bacterial small subunit ribosomal RNA
Source: RNAcentral
GGGUGGGGGAAGUGGCGAAAGGGGCAGUAAUGCGUGGGUAACCUACCCUGGGGACGAGGAUAGCCAUUCUAACGAGUGGGUAAUACUCGGCGAUUUGAUUGAGGGGCAUCCCUUGGUCAGGAAAUGAAUUUCGCCUCAGGAGGGGCUCACGUGAUAUUAGCUAGUUGGUAGGGUAACGGCCUACCAAGGCAAAGAUGUCUAGCGGGUGUGAGAGCACGACCCGCGCCACUGGCACUGAGACACUGGCCAGACACCUACGGGUGGCUGCAGUCGAGGAUCUUUGGCAAUGGGCGCAAGCCUGACCAAGCGACGCCGCGUGUGCGAUGAAGGCCUUCGGGUUGUAAAGCACUGUCGAGGGGGACGAAGGCCCGAAAGGGCUUGACCGAUCCCUGGAGGAAGCACGGGCUAAGUUCGUGCCAGCAGCCGCGGUAAGACGAACCGUGCGAACGUUG